RNAcentral lists this ribosomal RNA (1971 nucleotides) under Triticum aestivum (bread wheat). RNAcentral describes it as "partial small subunit ribosomal RNA". The record is from RNAcentral. Lineage: Eukaryota; Viridiplantae; Streptophyta; Magnoliopsida; Poales; Poaceae.
AUGCAGUCCUCGUCGGUGAAGAGUGAAAUGUACCCCAUCUGGGCCGUAUCCUUGCUCACCCUCUUCGGCGGCAUUGACUCAAUCAGUGGGUACAACCUUGACCACAACAGCCAGUUCCUGAAGUUGCUAUACCAGCUCUGCCUCUAUUGUGGAUAUGUCCUACUAAUUGGUAUAUCCACCAUCUCCACUGAUGUAGGUAACAUUGCAAUUGGUGUUCUGUGUGCCAUCACUUUCAUUAAGGGCUUUCACAGAUCACUAGCAAGUGUGUUGCCAAGCAGAUUGCGGAAUGUAAACAAAUUGAUUGCUGAUUACAAGGGAGAGAGCCAUUCAAGAAGUCAUGAUGGUGACGUCAUUAUGAGAGAUUACCCUAAGUACGUUGUCGACUGGCCCCUAGACCAUUUCAGAAAAAGAAACAACAUAUUGGAGGGUAAUGAAGUCAUCACUACAAACAAGAUAUGGCUUUGCACCCUCACUUCAUCAGGACGAAGCACCGAUUAUUACAAGGAUGUUUGCCUCUCCUUCUCCCUAUGCCAUUUGUUGCAACGACGUUUCUUCAGGUUUGCAUGUGCUGAGUCCCGCCUUGAUGAGACCGAGGAUUUUGUCAACAAAGGCCUGCUUGUACAAAGGGAUGAUGGCACUGUUGACUAUGAGAGGGCAUUUAACGUCAUCGAGGUUGAGUUGUAUUUUCUCUAUGACAUAUUUUUCACCAACAAUGCCUUCCUUCAUUACUAUGAGUUGAAAGUUGCAACAAUUUGGACAUUUGCCUCAAUCAUUGGCAUAAUAUUUGUGGGAGUUGUGACUAUCAUACCUGGGGCAAGGAGAACACAUAUUUCUGGCGACACUAUUGUUGUGACGACCGCAUCAUAUGACCUUGUCAUCACUCUAGUAAUACUGGUCUCCAUUGUUUUGCUCCAAGUGAUGCAGUUGGUACGGUGUUGGACAUCCAACUGGUCUAAAGUUGCCCUUGUGUGUCAGUCUAUCAGAAAUGGAGACGGGGGCUGCCAAAUGAGGUUUAAAGCAUUUAUGAGCAAGAUUGAUUUUUUCGCCGGCUAUGUCUGGCAACGUAAGCUUGGACAAUAUUCAUUUGUUGAAGCAAUCAGCACAAAAGAGUGUGUGUUGGCCACGUUUGUGAAACGUGCAUUCAAGGAAUGCAUCACUUUUUCAAGGAUAUUUGGGUUGCGGUACAUUGAGCAAGUUUACGAGGAAAUGUUUGGCAGUCCUACAGGCAAUCAUGUUCUGUUGACCACACACGUGAAGGAAGCCAUUGUUGACUCUUAUAUGCGCCUCUGCCUUAUUGACAAUGGUGAUCUAGGUACUUGGUCUUGGACUUGGCCGACAAUUGGUGUCUUAUCGGAGAGGAAAAAUGGACCGAGAACUAUUAUGGCUUGUCACAUUGCGACUUGUUACCUAGAAAUGGGGCAGUCAAAAAACAAGAAGUGGCUUGAUGAGCACCCUGUAGAAGAAGAGAGGGAGAAGCUAGCAGUGUAUUUUGAUGUUGCCACAACGUUGUCCAAGUACUAUGCACACUUGAUUGUCUCCGCGCCACAGUUGCUUCCUCCGAACCCCUUGGAGACAAAAUCUGCUUAUAAUGCAGCCGCACGGGAAGCAAGACAUUUACUACGUGGGGCGAAAGACAAAUAUGAGGCAAUGAAACAUAUGGACUCAACAACAGGGGUGAUUACGAAUGAAGAAGAAUCAGAUUUCUCCAAGGAAGAAUCAGUUUUCCGGAAGGGCAUGGAACUAGGGAGGAGUCUCGAAAACCGGCCUGUGUUUGUUCUAUGGGAGGAGCUGGCAAGAUUCUGGACCAAUAGGUUGCUCUAUGCCGCGCCUUCCGAUAAUGUGAAGGAGCACAUUGAUCAUCUCUCACGGGGUGGUGAGUUCACCACGCAUCUCUGGGCUCUGCUGUUUCAUGCUGGCAUAGUCAAUGCCGACCAAUUCGAGCAAAAACAGGUCCUACGGGAACACUGGUGA